This 56-nucleotide small RNA is filed under the name Streptococcus hyointestinalis. Its description in RNAcentral is "Transposase-1 RNA". It matches the Rfam family "Transposase-1 RNA". Rfam says of the family: Lactobacillales (Firmicutes). Environment (Human Microbiome Project, vagina) Lineage: Bacteria; Bacillati; Bacillota; Bacilli; Lactobacillales; Streptococcaceae. The record is from RNAcentral.
UCAGAGCUGGUCACUGUCAUUACCCUAAUAUGUGGAUAUGGAAAUACCAGCGAUGA